AGCGAACGCUGGCGGCAGGCCUAACACAUGCAAGUCGAACGAACUCUUCGGAGUUAGUGGCGGACGGGUGAGUAACACGUGGGAACGUGCCUUUAGGUUCGGAAUAACUCAGGGAAACUUGUGCUAAUACCGAAUGUGCCCUUCGGGGGAAAGAUUUAUCGCCUUUAGAGCGGCCCGCGUCUGAUUAGCUAGUUGGUGAGGUAAAGGCUCACCAAGGCGACGAUCAGUAGCUGGUCUGAGAGGAUGAUCAGCCACAUUGGGACUGAGACACGGCCCAAACUCCUACGGGAGGCAGCAGUGGGGAAUCUUGCGCAAUGGGCGAAAGCCUGACGCAGCCAUGCCGCGAGAAUGAUGAAGGUCUUAGGAUUGUAAAAUUCUUUCACCGGGGACGAUAAUGACGGUACCCGGAGAAGAAGUCCCGGCUAACUUCGUG
RNAcentral lists this ribosomal RNA (433 nucleotides) under uncultured bacterium. RNAcentral's name for it is "partial 16S ribosomal RNA". It matches the Rfam family "Bacterial small subunit ribosomal RNA", at positions 29 to 507 of the family's 1533-position model. The record is from RNAcentral.